AUACUUACCUGCUACGAGGUUCGCUGUGAUCAGGAAGGCAGCGCCUGUUUGGGAUUCUCGACAAUGCACGCCUGCUUCGAGAGCUUCAGAUUCCCUGACCUUUGGGGUCAGAGGAGGUGGAUAAUUUUUGUUUGUGGGAGGGAUCUGCGUUCGCGCUGUCCGCUCCCU
This 168-nucleotide small nuclear RNA is filed under the name Spizellomyces punctatus DAOM BR117. RNAcentral describes it as "U1 spliceosomal RNA". It matches the Rfam family "U1 spliceosomal RNA". From Rfam's summary of the family: U1 is a small nuclear RNA (snRNA) component of the spliceosome (involved in pre-mRNA splicing). Its 5' end forms complementary base pairs with the 5' splice junction, thus defining the 5' donor site of an intron. The record is from Rfam by way of RNAcentral. Lineage: Eukaryota; Fungi; Chytridiomycota; Chytridiomycetes; Spizellomycetales; Spizellomycetaceae.